This 505-nucleotide ribosomal RNA is filed under the name uncultured bacterium. RNAcentral describes it as "partial 16S ribosomal RNA". It matches the Rfam family "Bacterial small subunit ribosomal RNA", at positions 28 to 507 of the family's 1533-position model. The record is from RNAcentral.
GACGAACGCUGGCGGCGUGCCUAUUACAUGCAAGUAGAACGCACAGUUUAUACCGUAGCUUGCUACACCAUAAACUGUGAGUUGCGAACGGGUGAGUAACGCGUAGGUAACCUGCCUGGUAGCGGGGGAUAACUAUUGGAAACGAUAGCUAAUACCGCAUAAUAUUGAUUAUUGCAUGAUAAUUGAUUGAAAGAUGCUAUUGCAUCACUACCAGAUGGACCUGCGUUGUAUUAGCUAGUAGGUGAGGUAACGGCUCACCUAGGCGACGAUACAUAGCCGACCUGAGAGGGUGAUCGGCCACACUGGGACUGAGACACGGCCCAGACUCCUACGGGAGGCAGCAGUAGGGAAUCUUCGGCAAUGGACGAAAGUCUGACCGAGCAACGCCGCGUGAGUGAAGAAGGUUUUCGGAUCGUAAAGCUCUGUUGUAAGAGAAGAACGGGUGUGAGAGUGGAAAGUUCACACUGUGACGGUAUCUUACCAGAAAGGGACGGCUAACUACGUG